GAUGAACGCUGGCGGCGUGCCUAAUACAUGCAAGUCGAGCGAACAGAUGAGGAGCUUGCUCCUCUGACGUUAGCGGCGGACGGGUGAGUAACACGUGGAUAACCUACCUAUAAGACUGGGAUAACUUCGGGAAACCGGAGCUAAUACCGGAUAAUAUAUUGAACCGCAUGGUUCAAUAGUGAAAGACGGUUUUGCUGCCACUUAUAGAUGGAUCCGCGCCGCAUUAGCUAGUUGGUAAGGUAACGGCUUACCAAGGCAACGAUGCGUAGCCGACCUGAGAGGGUGAUCGGCCACACUGGAACUGAGACACGGUCCAGACUCCUACGGGAGGCAGCAGUAGGGAAUCUUCCGCAAAGGGCGAAAGCCUGACGGAGCAACGCCGCGUGAGUGAUGAAGGUCUUCGGAUCGUAAAACUCUGUUAUUAGGGAAGAACAAAUGUGUAAGUAACUAUGCACGUCUUGACGGUACCUAAUCAGAAAGCCACGGCUAACUACGUG
This 497-nucleotide ribosomal RNA is filed under the name uncultured bacterium. RNAcentral describes it as "partial 16S ribosomal RNA". It matches the Rfam family "Bacterial small subunit ribosomal RNA", at positions 28 to 507 of the family's 1533-position model. The record is from RNAcentral.